GGCCGGCUGGGUUGCAGCGGCUGCGGCUGCGGCGUUGCUGGCCGCAUGCGGCGGCGCGCCGACGCGGACCUCGGCGCUCAAGCCGCCCACCGGCGC
This 96-nucleotide transfer RNA is filed under the name Burkholderia stabilis. RNAcentral describes it as "tRNA-Ala(tgc)". Lineage: Bacteria; Pseudomonadati; Pseudomonadota; Betaproteobacteria; Burkholderiales; Burkholderiaceae. The record is from RNAcentral.